CGAGUGAUAAAAUCCGUCGUCAAGAGGGAAACAACCCAGACUACCAGCUAAGGUCCCUAAAUCUUACUUAAGUGGAAAACGAUGUGAAGUUACUUAAACAACCAGGAGGUUGGCUUAGAAGCAGCCAUCCUUUAAAGAAAGCGUAAUAGCUCACUGGUCUAGUGAUUUUGCGCGGAAAAUAUAACGGGGCUAAAGUAAGUACCGAAGCUGUAGACUUAGUUUACUAAGUGGUAGGAGAGCGUUCUAUUUGCGUCGAAGGUAUACCGGUAAGGAGUGCUGGAGCGAAUAGAAGUGAGCAUGCAGGCAUGAGUAGCGAUAAUUAAUGUGAGAAUCAUUAACGCCGUAAACCCAAGGUUUCCUACGCGAUGCUCGUCAUCGUAGGGUUAGUCGGGUCCUAAGUCGAGUCCGAAAGGGGUAGACGAUGGCAAAUUGGUUAAUAUUCCAAUACCAACAUUAGUGUGCGAUGGAAGGACGCUUAGGGCUAAGGGGGCUAGCGGAUGGAAGUGCUAGUCUAAGGUCGUAGGAGGUUAUACAGGCAAAUCCGUAUAACAAUACUCCGAGAACUGAAAGGCUUUUUGAAGUCUUCGGAUGGAUAGAAGAACCCCUGAUGCCGUCGAGCCAAGAAAAGUUUCUAAGUUUAGCUAAUGUUGCCCGUACCGUAAACCGACACAGGUGGGUGGGAUGAGUAUUCUAAGGCGCGUGGAAGAACUCUCUUUAAGGAACUCUGCAAAAUAGCACCGUAUCUUCGGUAUAAGGUGUGGUUAGCUUUGUAUUAGGAUUUACUCCGAAAGCAAGGAAACUUACAACAAAGAGUCCCUCCCGACUGUUUACCAAAAACACAGCACUCUGCUAACUCGUAAGAGGAUGUAUAGGGUGUGACGCCUGCCCGGUGCUCGAAGGUUAAUUGAUGGGGUUAGCAUUAGCGAAGCUCUUGAUCGAAGCCCGAGUAAACGGCGGCCGUAACUAUAACGGUCCUAAGGUAGCGAAAUUCCUUGUCGGUUAAAUACCGACCUGCAUGAAUGGCGUAACGAGAUGGGAGCUGUCUCAAAGAGGGAUCCAGUGAAAUUGUAGUGGAGGUGAAAAUUCCUCCUACCCGCGGCAAGACGGAAAGACCCCGUGGACCUUUACUACAGCUUGACACUGCUACUUGGAUAAGAAUGUGCAGGAUAGGUGGGAGGCUUUGAGUAUAUGACGCCAGUUGUAUAUGAGCCAUUGUUGAGAUACCACUCUUUCUUAUUUGGGUAGCUAACCAGCUUGAGUUAUCCUCAAGUGGGACAAUGUCUGGUGGGUAGUUUGACUGGGGCGGUCGCCUCCCAAAUAAUAACGGAGGCUUACAAAGGUUGGCUCAGAACGGUUGGAAAUCGUUCGUAGAGUAUAAAGGUAUAAGCCAGCUUAACUGCAAGACAUACAAGUCAAGCAGAGACGAAAGUCGGUCUUAGUGAUCCGGUGGUUCUGUGUGGAAGGGCCAUCGCUCAAAGGAUAAAAGGUACCCCGGGGAUAACAGGCUGAUCUCCCCCAAGAGCUCACAUCGACGGGGAGGUUUGGCACCUCGAUGUCGGCUCAUCGCAUCCUGGGGCUGGAGCAGGUCCCAAGGGUAUGGCUGUUCGCCAUUUAAAGCGGUACGCGAGCUGGGUUCAGAACGUCGUGAGACAGUUCGGUCCCUAUCUGCCGUGGGCGUAAGAAGAUUGAAGAGAUUUGACCCUAGUACGAGAGGACCGGGUUGAACAAACCACUGGUGUAGCUGUUGUUCUGCCAAGAGCAUCGCAGCGUAGCUAAGUUUGGAAAGGAUAAACGCUGAAAGCAUCUAAGCGUGAAGCCAACUCUAAGAUGAAUCUUCUCUAAGCUCUCUAGAAGACUACUAGUUUGAUAGGCUGGGUGUGUAAUGGAUGAAAGUCCUUUAGCUGACCAGUACUAAUAGAGCGUUUGGCUUAUCUUUAAUAAAGCAU
Molecule: ribosomal RNA, 1946 nt
Filed under: Campylobacter jejuni
Lineage: Bacteria; Pseudomonadati; Campylobacterota; Epsilonproteobacteria; Campylobacterales; Campylobacteraceae
Description: partial 23S ribosomal RNA
Rfam family: Bacterial large subunit ribosomal RNA
Source: RNAcentral